Molecule: ribosomal RNA, 2255 nt
Filed under: human gut metagenome
Description: bacterial LSU rRNA
Rfam family: Bacterial large subunit ribosomal RNA
Source: RNAcentral
UCAAGCUAGAAAGAGCGCAAGGGGAAUGCCUUGGCAUCAGGAGCCGACGAAGGACGUGACAAGCUGCGAUAAGCUGCGGGGAGUGGCACAUACACAUUGAUCCGCAGAUUUCCGAAUGGGGCAACCCGGCAGAGCAAUACUCUGUCAGCGUGCGUUGAAUCAAAUAGGCGUACGCGGGGAACCGCCUGAACUGAAACAUCUAAGUAGGGCGAGGAAGAGAAAUCAACCGAGAUUCCGCUAGUAGUGGCGAGCGAACGCGGAAGAGGCCAAACCAAGAGUAGUAAUACUUUUGGGGUUUUGGACAGCGUAAGGUAUUAACAACGGUUAGUUGAAUGAAAUGGGAAGUUCAACCAUAGAGCGUGAGAGUCGCGUAAACGAAAACUGAAGUUAGCCGGCUGGAUCCAGAGUACCGCCGGACACGUGAAACCCGGUGGGAAGACGGGGGGACCACCCUCCAAGCCUAAAUACUCUCCAAUGACCGAUAGUGUAAAGUACUGUGAAGGAAAGGUGAAAAGAACCCCUGGCGGGGAGUGAAAAAGAACCUGAAACCUUGUGCCUACAAGCACAUAGAGCGCGUCAAAGCGUGAUAUGGUACCUUUUGUAGAAUGGUCCGGCGAGUGAAUGUCACUAGCAAGGUUAAUGACUUAAGGUCAGGAGCCGCAGCGAAAGCGAGUCUUAAUAGGGCGACAUUAGUUAGUGGUAUUCGACCCGAAACCGAGUGACCUAGCCAUGAGCAGGCUGAAGUGGAGGUAAAACUCCAUGGAGGGCCGAACCCACUCCCGUUGAAAUGGUAGGGGAUGACUUGUGGCUAGCGGAGAAAUUCCAAUCGAACUCGGAGAUAGCUGGUUCUCUCCGAAAUAGCUUUAGGGCUAGCCUCAAUAUACAUUACCGCAGGUAAAGCACUGAAUGAGCUAGGGGGCGAAAGCUUACUGAACUCUAUCAAACUAAGAAUGGCGGAUAAUGAAAUAUUGGGAGUCACACUACGUGAGAUAAGUUUCGUGGUGGAAAGGGAAACAGCCCAGACCCACAGCUAAGGUCCCAAAGUACGGUUAAGUGGAAAAGGAUGUGGAGUUGCACAGACAACCAGGAUGUUGGCUCAGAAGCAGCCACUCAUUUAAAGAGUGCGUAAUAGCUCACUGGUCGAGCGUCUCUGCGCGGAAAAUUUAACGGGGCUAAGAUACAAACCGAAGCUUAGGCUGCACUUUUAGUGCGGGGUAGGGGAGCGUUGUGUAAGCGGAGAAACAGUAGCGGAAGCGGCUGUGGAGUUUACAGAAGUGAGAAUGCCGGAAUGAGUAGCGCGAAUGAUGUGAGAAUCAUCAUGGCCGGAAACCUCAGGUUUUUGGAGGAAGGUUCGUCCGCUCCAAGUUAGGCGGGAGCUAAGGUGAGGCCGAAAGGCGUAGCCGAUGCACAGACGGUAGAGAUUCCGUCCCCACCGAAAGAUUUAAGCGCAGGGACACUUUUAGAAGGUCGGAGCCAGGUGUUGGUUCUGGUAGAGAUCGAGGGAAGAUUAGUACCGAAGUCCGGCUGGAUAAGAGGCGAGAAAAGCUGCGUGUAUAUCUAAGGUGCCCGUACCGCAAACCGACACAGGUAGGUAGGAAGAAGAUUCUAAGGCCAACGGGAGAAGGGUUGUUAAGGAACUCGGCAAAUUGACCCCGUAACUUCGGGAGAAGGGGUGCUCCAGAGAUGGAGCCGCAGAGAAUCGGCCCAAGCAACUGUUUACCAAAAACACAGGUUUGUGCUAAAUCGAAAGAUGACGUAUACGAGCUGACGCCUGCCCGGUGCUGGAAGGUUAAAAGGAGAUGUGCAAGCAUUGAAUUGAAGCCCCAGUGAACGGCGGCCGUAACUAUAACGGUCCUAAGGUAGCGAAAUUCCUUGUCAGGUAAGUUCUGACCCGCAUGAAAGGCGUAAUGAUUUGGGCACUGUCUCAACAGCCCGCCCGGCGAAAUUGUAGUACCGGUGAAGAUGCCGGUUACCCGCGACAAGACGGAAAGACCCCAUGGAGCUUUACUGUAGCCUAAUAUUGGGUUUCGAUGUUGCAUGCACAGGAUAGAUGGGACACUGGGAAGCAGGUGCUUUGGCGCUUGUGGAGUGGCCGUUGGGAUACCAUCCUUGCGAUAUUGGAAUUCUAACCUGCGCCUUUGAAUCAAGGCGGGGGACAUUGUUAGGUGGGCAGUUUGACUGGGGCGGUCGCCUCCUAAAGAGUAACGGAGGCGUUCAAAGGUUCGCUCAGCUUGAACGGAAAUCAAGCAAAAGAG